This 180-nucleotide non-coding RNA is filed under the name Solibacillus silvestris. The record is from RNAcentral. Lineage: Bacteria; Bacillati; Bacillota; Bacilli; Caryophanales; Caryophanaceae.
UAAAUUCAUCAAGCAUUAGGUGCCCUUUAAGGGAGAAUAGGGAAUAAAGUGAAAAGCUUUAGCGUAAUCCCAACACUGUAUAGAGGAGUUUCAUAGCAAAACCCACUGGAUUUACAUCUGGGAAGGGGCUAUGAAAUUGUGAAUCUGAGCCAGGAGACCUGCCUAAUACGCUUACUGUUA